RNAcentral lists this ribosomal RNA (346 nucleotides) under Rhipicephalus sanguineus (brown dog tick). Its description in RNAcentral is "partial large subunit ribosomal RNA". Lineage: Eukaryota; Metazoa; Arthropoda; Arachnida; Ixodida; Ixodidae. The record is from RNAcentral.
UUUUAAAAAAAUUCUAAGAGAACGGAAGUCCAGAAAAAAACUUUUUUUAAAUUAAAAAUUGAAGUUUUUUUAAUUUGUGCAGAAACAAUUAUUUAUAUUAAAGACAAGAAGACCCUAUGAAUUUAUUAAAUUUUUAUUUAAUAUGUAAUUACUAUUAGAAAAAUUUUGGCUGGGGCGGCUAGAAAAUAUUAUAAACUUUUUAAAAAUAAAAUGAUCCAUUAUUAAUGAUUUUAUGUUAAAUACUCUAGGGAUAACAGCGUUAUAUUUUUUGAUAGAUCAUAUUGACAAAAAAGUUUGCGACCUCGAUGUUGGAUUAGGAUACUUUUUAAGAAGAUAUAAAAAAAAA